GAGCAAGCGAUACCCCCGACGUCCUACACCGCGAAUUGGUUUACGAAACCGAUUAUCACGAAUUCUUGAUUUUUCGUAUUGUGAACUGAGGCCGUUUAAGUGGAACUUCGUGUUAACUAGGAACGGAUACAUUCAUUUAACGCGUCCAACGUGUCCUUCCCUUCCUCAUUUUUCUCUUUUUUAAGUUAUGAUUAGAUACCGAAAAUUGCUGUAUUAAACAACUUAUCAAUUCCGAAAAGCUACGGAUAAAUUGCACUUUUUAGGAGAAACUUUUCUAGUAACACGAUACAUAUGAUAUGUAGGACGUAUAAUGUGUGCAGAUGUUUGAAUUUUUCAACACGACACGCGAUGCAACGAUUGUAGGUUCGAGCAUUCAUCGAAAGGGAGAAACACAGAUUUUUGUAUUUUUGCACAAGAUAUAUCCCUGUAAAAUAUAUAUUAUGCGAUUACAUAAAAAUAUUCGUGUGUACUAGAAUUUUUUUAUUAAUUAUUUUUGCCAUCAUCUAUAAUAUAUUUAUGUCGACAGAUAUAAAAAUCGAUUGAAUCAUGCAGGAUAUUAUCAGAAUGAAUAAGCGUUAUGACUCAUUGUCGAAACCGCGAAAUGUUAUUUAACUUCAAUAUGGAAGUUUUAUCGCGUUAUAGUGUGUAAUGUUAUUGAAACGCUUGUAUAGAGAUAGUUUUCUUCGGAAUUUCGUUAAACGUGACGAAAAAGAAAGUGUGUUUUAUCUCUGAUUGCAUGUGAUUAAACCACAACGAAUAUGUCAGGAACGAUUCGAGCGAAUUAUUGAAACAAUAAUUAUUUCAUAUAAUUAAAAAACACUGACUUUAGUCAAUGUAAUUAAUUUUCCAUGAGCGAUCCCAGCACACACGAUCGCUCGCCAGUAUAGAUUAUUAUCAUGUGCCAGAUAGCUCUAUCUGUUUUGUGAGAUCUUGUUGUACGUGAGCGAUACGAUUAGCAGACUUACGCAAGAAACGGCCGACAAUAUGCACUCGACUCAAAUAAAGCGAUUAAGUAAAGAGUGUUCGUAAAAUAUACACGUUCGCAUUUCCACAGUUUUCCUGACAAACGAUCCGUGUAAUAUUUCCUGCGUUCAUCGUUUCGCCGGACCGUCUGACAGCGAUUCAAGGCCAUCGAUCCGCGAAACUUCAUUGAGUCCUUCGUCCACGUCUCCAAGUUCUCCGAAAUUCUUGAUCGUUUUGGGACAAAGUUGUGCACCGUUCACUCCACAAGGUAUGUGGAAAGUGCGUGUGUGUCGCGAAAUAUGAUCAUGUAGCAAGUAGCGUUUGCAUAAGUAUCAGUAAUGAGAUUAUCCAAUCUUCUUGCACGACUUAAUGAAGUUGGAAAAGUUCAUACGCCAUCUUCACUCAUAUGGAGUCUCAAGCAUUGAUUGUCACUCUCUGAUCCUUACGAAGGCCGAUUUACACGACUGGAAUUUUGUUUUUAAGUGUGACUCAUAUCCUGAUUGAUUAAUACUACGAUACGUGUACAGUUAAGAUCGAGUCUGUCUCAUGCUGAUCUCUGUCUAAUAAUUGUUUACCGAAAUAUAGAACGAGACGCUACGUACAAUAAUUGUCUAGGCCUGCUUUUGUCACUUUAAUGUUCAGAAUAAUAGCUCUACGAAAUUUUGGUGAUUUCUACAAAGUCCUUAUGCUCCAUUCGUUAUUAAUGAUCAAUUAAAUGGCUGUGAUCAACUCUCAGCUUUAAUUUCUACCAAACACCUAACGAGACAAUAUUUGUUGUGCAUUCAGGGCAAUGACGAUAGUGAAUAUCUGUGAAAGAAGAGCGCGUUGAGGCACGACAUCUAUUUGCAGAAUGCGACUCGCUCACAUAUUAUCUAAGAGACUUAUAAAACAUAAAAAUAUCUUUAUCUGUAUUCUACAAAUGUCUACACGUUAAACGAAAGACGUCCGUAAGAAUUUAAUCUUUAAACUUCUUUAAUCUUCUUUAAUUAUCACGAGGAAAUUUCUGUUCUUACUUACUUUACUGCAGACAAUACUCAAUUAAUACUAAAACUAUUGAUGAUUCAUUUCUAUCAGAGCGAUAAAAAUGACAGAUUUUUGAACAAACAUGUAAUGCAGAAGAAAAAUGGUCGGUGAUCUUUAUUUAACACCAAUUGAAAAUCUAAAAUGCACCAUUAUAAAUUUGAGUAAUUGUUAUGAGAAAUUCGAUCAUUUUGAUCACUUUGGUAAUUCCAACAUUAAUCCGCGUGAUUCGAUAUCUUCGCUUUGAUAUUCGAACUUUUUAUCCCUACGUUAAAUUAGACGCUUCACGCGCGGUUGGUCGACAUUGGCUGCCGGUUGAUGACAGUGUUGAGGUUUUAGGCACAACUUGCUGGGAUUUGCAUGUAAUUGCCGCAGGCUACAUGUCUUGCCUCUAGGCUGCGUCAGGGUUUACCCACGUUCUAUACACCUUGAUAUUGGAAGCCUAAGCGAUGUCCUAAGUUUGGCCAUAGGUCUGCACAUGAGUUCCUUACAAACCUGUUUAUGAGAGAAACUCUCCCGUGGAAAAAUCAUCUCGUAUACAUGACAUUAUUUGAAACAAAAUUCCAAGCGCCUUCGCAUUCUAUGUUAUUACGAGAAGAUUAUCCUGACAGUGAAGUCGCGAACAAUUUAUCAUUACUUCGGUGUACUUUCUGAUCGAGUGAAACUCGAUUUUUCGGAAGCACUGAAAGAUAUGAUCGAUCUUCUUGAUGCUAUGAGGAAGUGCAGAGUAUUCAGCCAUAACUAGCAGGGGUACACCGUAGACCCCGGUGAAUGGGGAGCUAUAUGUAUAAUUGAAAGGCUGACACGGCGGACGACUUGAAGGAAGUUGCAAUCGUGAUUGGCCUGCAUAAUGAAGAAGCUCGAACGCCAUUAUACUCGAUGGCGAGCUUAAAGUUCCAGGCACCUACCAGGUGGAUACCUCCGUGACAAUCCUGAUAUGUUGCCCCGCUGAGAAGCAAACCUCAAACUUGGCAAGUUCAUCUGGCUUAUCCCGGCCUUUGUGGGGAUAAAACGGCGGGCUACGUCCGCGUGAUUUUCUCUCAUGCAAAUUUGCCCCGCGGAAGUUGAAGCGCUUCAAGAUUGCAUCGAUGAUGCGCGAGCGCGUAAUCCCGCCUAUACUCGGCAGCAAAGAGUACGGUAGUCUUGAGUCGGUAAAAUGGAAAAAGUGCAAUUUAAAUAUUCGAAAUGUGCCGUGCGACUAACAGGUCUCAGCGAUUAUUGCUACACUUGAACGAUUAAUUAUAACUCAGGCGUUAUUACGAGUCUUAUGUCAGAGAAUAUAGUCAAAAUGCAUAAAAUGACAUCUGCCAACACUCGAAAAACUUUCUCGGAAUAAAAUUCAUAUAUAGACAAUAUUUUUCUUGUGUCGAAAAAAUCCGAUGAUUCUGCACUCUCUCUAAGAACUCGGAAUUAAAUAAUCUUCCAGAUAAUAUUUGAUUAUCUCUUUGAUAUAUCGUCAUCGUUCGAUAAGAACUGUCACUGUUGGCCUUAUCGAAUGUUUCGCGAAAUAAAAGUCGUUACGACAAUAGCAUAUGAGAGAUUCUGCGAAUUGUUAUCUUCCAAUUGCACAUGUCCUAAGUCCAUUAAUAUUAGUGUUCGAAUAGAUCUUUAUUUACGAAAUUAUUGAUCAAAGUUCUUGCCUUUUGUAUUACUUGUUCGCUCUAUAAAAUAAUAGAUUAAAUAUCUCAAAGUAGUAACACUUUUUGUCAUACAGAUUAAGAUUUAGCGAGCGGAUUACAUUUCGUAGGAAGAGAAACGUGUUAUCGGUGAAUGAAGUGGCAGCAGUCGAUAUUGCUUUUUUAUCUUUUCGCCGACGCAGCGGUAUAAUUAAUUCAUGAAAAGGAAUUUUACCUGAAAAUUUCGUUGAUUCUUAUCCAACUAGAUAAGACACAGUAAAUCACGAGGAAAUCGAGAAUAAUAUAAUGGAUGAAUAUUCUUAGAAACGUAGGUCGCAAUAUCGCAAUAUCGCAAUAUUCGACGCAUUCGAUUACAGUUAUUAAUAAACUUUGUCAUCUUUUA
Molecule: long non-coding RNA, 4002 nt
Organism: Odontomachus brunneus
Lineage: Eukaryota; Metazoa; Arthropoda; Insecta; Hymenoptera; Formicidae
Exons: 2
Source: RefSeq, a predicted model, not a curated record